This 484-nucleotide ribosomal RNA is filed under the name uncultured bacterium. RNAcentral describes it as "partial 16S ribosomal RNA". It matches the Rfam family "Bacterial small subunit ribosomal RNA", at positions 30 to 507 of the family's 1533-position model. The record is from RNAcentral.
AUUGAACGCUGGCGGCAGGCCUAACACAUGCAAGUCGAGCGGAUGAAGGGAGCUUGCUCCUGGAUUCAGCGGCGGACGGGUGAGUAAUGCCUAGGAAUCUGCCUGGUAGUGGGGGAUAACGUCCGGAAACGGGCGCUAAUACCGCAUACGUCCUGAGGUAGAAAGUGGGGGAUCUUCGGACCUCACGCUAUCAGAUGAGCCUAGGUCGGAUUAGCGAGUUGGUGGGGUAACGGCCUACCAAGGCGACGAUCCGUAACUGGUCUGAGAGGAUGAUCAGUCACACUGGAACUGAGACACGGUCCAGACUCCUACGGGAGGCAGCAGUGGGGAAUAUUGGACAAUGGGCGAAAGCCUGAUCCAGCCAUGCCGCGUGUGUGAAGAAGGUCUUCGGAUUGUAAAGCACUUUAAGUUGGGAGGAAGGGCAGUAAGUUAAUACCUUGCUGUUUUGACGUUACCAACAGAAUAAGCACCGGCUAACUUCGUG